This 679-nucleotide ribosomal RNA is filed under the name Isoptericola sp. Its description in RNAcentral is "bacterial SSU rRNA". It matches the Rfam family "Bacterial small subunit ribosomal RNA", at positions 84 to 778 of the family's 1533-position model. Lineage: Bacteria; Bacillati; Actinomycetota; Actinomycetes; Micrococcales; Promicromonosporaceae. The record is from RNAcentral.
UGGGUGGAUCAGUGGCGAACGGGUGAGUAACACGUGAGCAACCUGCCCUCCACUUCGGGAUAAGCCUUGGAAACGGGGUCUAAUACCGGAUAUGAGUGCCUGCUGCAUGGUGGGUGCUGGAAAGUUUUUCGGUGGGGGAUGGGCUCGCGGCCUAUCAGCUUGUUGGUGGGGUAAUGGCCUACCAAGGCGUCGACGGGUAGCCGGCCUGAGAGGGCGACCGGCCACACUGGGACUGAGACACGGCCCAGACUCCUACGGGAGGCAGCAGUGGGGAAUAUUGCACAAUGGGCGAAAGCCUGAUGCAGCGACGCCGCGUGAGGGAUGACGGCCUUCGGGUUGUAAACCUCUUUCAGCAGGGAAGAAGCGCAAGUGACGGUACCUGCAGAAGAAGCGCCGGCUAACUACGUGCCAGCAGCCGCGGUAAUACGUAGGGCGCAAGCGUUGUCCGGAAUUAUUGGGCGUAAAGAGCUCGUAGGCGGUUUGUCGCGUCUGGUGUGAAAACCUCAGGCUCAACCUGGGGCGUGCAUCGGGUACGGGCAGACUAGAGUGCGGUAGGGGAGACUGGAAUUCCUGGUGUAGCGGUGGAAUGCGCAGAUAUCAGGAGGAACACCGAUGGCGAAGGCAGGUCUCUGGGCCGCAACUGACGCUGAGGAGCGAAAGCAUGGGGAGCGAACAGGAU